UGGCGGCNGGCUUAACCCAUGCAAGUCGAACGAGACCUUCGGGUCUAGUGGCGCACGGGUGCGUAACGCGUGGGAAUCUGCCCUUUGCUACGGAAUAACUCAGAGAAAUUUGUGCUAAUACCGUAUAAUGUCGUAAGACCAAAGAUUUAUCGGCAAAGGAUGAGCCCGCGUAAGAUUAGCUUGUUGGUGAGGUAAAGGCUCACCAAGGCGACGAUCUUUAGCUGGUCUGAGAGGAUGAUCAGCCACACUGGGACUGAGACACGGCCCAGACUCCUACGGGAGGCAGCAGUGGGGAAUAUUGGACAAUGGGCGAAAGCCUGAUCCAGCAAUGCCGCGUGAGUGAUGAAGGCCUUAGGGUUGUAAAGCUC
Molecule: ribosomal RNA, 368 nt
Filed under: uncultured bacterium
Lineage: Bacteria
Description: bacterial SSU rRNA
Rfam family: Bacterial small subunit ribosomal RNA
Source: RNAcentral